This 253-nucleotide ribosomal RNA is filed under the name uncultured bacterium. Its description in RNAcentral is "partial 16S ribosomal RNA". It matches the Rfam family "Bacterial small subunit ribosomal RNA", at positions 524 to 776 of the family's 1533-position model. The record is from RNAcentral.
UACGGGGGGGGCAAGCGUUGUUCGGAAUUAUUGGGCGUAAAGAGCUCGUAGGCGGCUUGUCACGUCGGAUGUGAAAGCCCGGGGCUUAACCCCGGGUCUGCAUUCGAUACGGGCUAGCUAGAGUGUGGUAGGGGAGAUCGGAAUUCCUGGUGUAGCGGUGAAAUGCGUAGAUAUCGGGAGGAACACCAGUGGCGAAGGCGACUUCCUGGCCUGUUCUUGACGCUGAGGCGCGAAAGCUAGGGGAGCAAACGGG